This 618-nucleotide ribosomal RNA is filed under the name Brunneiperidium gracilentum. Its description in RNAcentral is "eukaryotic LSU rRNA". It matches the Rfam family "Eukaryotic large subunit ribosomal RNA", at positions 24 to 664 of the family's 3401-position model. Lineage: Eukaryota; Fungi; Ascomycota; Sordariomycetes; Xylariales; Xylariaceae. The record is from RNAcentral.
CCCGCUGAACGUAAGCAUAUCAAUAAGCGGAGGAAGCAGAAACCAACAGGGAUUGCCCUAGUAACGGCGAGUGAAGCGGCAACAGCUCAAAUUUGGAAUCUGGUCCUCGUGUCCGAGUUGUAAUUUGUAGAGGAUGCUUUUGGCGCGGUGCCUUCCGAGUUCCCUGGAACGGGACGCCUUAGAGGGUGAGAGCCCCGUACGGUUGGACACCAAGCCUCUGUAAAGCUCCUUCGACGAGUCGAGUAGUUUGGGAAUGCUGCUCUAAAUGGGAGGUAAAUUUCUUCUAAAGCUAAAUAUUGGCCAGAGACCGAUAGCGCACAAGUAGAGUGAUCGAAAGAUGAAAAGCACUUUGAAAAGAGGGUUAAAUAGCACGUGAAAUUGUUGAAAGGGAAGCGUUUGCGACCAGACUCAUUCCUAGCGGAUCAUCCGGUGUUAUCACCGGUGCACUUUGCUAGGUCAAGGCCAGCAUCGGUUUCCGUAGGGGGAUAAAAGCUUGGGGAAUGUAGCUCCCUCGAGAGUGUUAUAGCCCCUCGCAUAAUACCCUUAUGGUGACCGAGGACCGCGCUUCUUGCAAGGAUGCUGGCGUAAUGGUUGUCAACGACCCGUCUUGAUACACGG